GACGAACGCUGGCGGCGUGCCUAAUACAUGCAAGUCGAACGCUUCUUUUUCCACCGGGGCUUGCUCCACCGGAAAAAAAAGAGUGGCGAACGGGUGAGUAACACGUGGGUAACCUGCCCAUCAGAAGGGGAUAACACUUGGAAACAGGUGCUAAGACCGUAUAACAAUCGAAAGCGCAUGGUUAUGAUUUGAAAGGCGCUUUCGGUUGUCGCUGAUGGAUGGACCCGCGGUGCAUUAGCUAGUUGGUGAGGUAACGGCUCACCAAGGCAACAAUGCAUAGCCGACCUGAGAGGGUGAUCGGCCACAUUGGGACUGAGACACGGCCCAAACUCCUACGGGAGGCAGCAGUAGGGAAUCUUCGGCAAUGGACGAAAGUCUGACCGAGCAACGCCGCGUGAGUGAAGAAGGUUUUCGGAUCGUAAAACUCUGUUGUUAGAGAAGAACAAGGAUGAGAGUAACUGUUCAUCCCUUGACGGUAUCUAACCAGAAAGCCACGGCUAACUACGUGCCAGCCGCCGCAGUAA
Molecule: ribosomal RNA, 524 nt
Filed under: uncultured bacterium
Lineage: Bacteria
Description: partial 16S ribosomal RNA
Rfam family: Bacterial small subunit ribosomal RNA
Source: RNAcentral